RNAcentral lists this ribosomal RNA (481 nucleotides) under uncultured bacterium. RNAcentral's name for it is "partial 16S ribosomal RNA". It matches the Rfam family "Bacterial small subunit ribosomal RNA", at positions 28 to 507 of the family's 1533-position model. The record is from RNAcentral.
GAUGAACGCUGGCGGCGUGCCUAACACAUGCGAGUCGAACGGAGAUUACGGACGGAAGUUUUCGGAUGGAAGCCUGUAAUUCUUAGUGGCGGACGGGUGAGUAACGCGUGGGCAACCUGCCCUAUACAGGGGGAUAGCAGCUGGAAACGGCUGGUAAGACCGCAUAAGUCGGUUAAAUCGCAUGAUUUGAUCGGGAAAUGAGCAAUCAGGUAUAGGAUGGGCCCGCGUCCGAUUAGCCAGUUGGCAGGGUAAAAGCCUACCAAAGCGACGAUCGGUAGCCGGACUGAGAGGUCGGACGGCCACAUUGGGACUGAGACACGGCCCAAGCUCCUACGGGAGGCAGCAGUGGGGGAUAUUGCACAAUGGAGGAAACUCUGAUGCAGCGACGCCGCGUGAGUGAAGAAGUAUUUCGGUAUGUAAAGCUCUAUCAGCAGGGAAGAUGAUGACGGUACCUGACUAAGAAGCCCCGGCUAACUACGUG